UAAAGCCAAAUGGUGUGUAGUUGUCAGGCAUUGGAUGCCUCAAGAGCCAAUGGGCCUUCUCAGAACCUGCCGCAACUUCUGAAACAGGCCAUUCAGCUAUACUAUAAAAGGUCCCUUAUUUCAUGCAUUUCUCAUUCCACUCGACAAUACUUCACUUGACCGUUUCUUCUUGACGAUCAACAGGGUGACCCAAUACACAGAAAAGAUGAGCCAACAGCAACAACAAUCAGGAAGCUGCUGCGGCGGCGGUGGCGGGUGUUGUGGUGGUAGUGGCGGUGGAUGCUGUGGCGGCCGGAGCCAUGGAGGCAGCGGUGGAUGCUGUGGCAGCCGCGUUGGAGGAUAUUCUCAACAAAGUCAGAGCAGUGGGGGAUGCUGUGGUGGCAGAAGCAGCGGUGGCGGAUGUUGUGGCGGUAGCAGCGGCGGUGGCGGAUGCUGUGGUAGCAGCGGUGGCGGAUGCUGCAGUGGACAACAGAAGGUCUACCCUCAGAAGCUGAAGUAGAUGCCUUCAAGGAGGAUUCAAAUGCCCAAUGAAGAUUGUCCCUUGUUGCAUAUCCCUUCACUUCUUGUAAGCCAAAGUUGGCUUGUAUCACAAUCCAGAUUUCCCCAAUGUGGAAAAUGGAACAUUCAGACUUUCUUGCUCUGAAAUUCCUGCAAAGUCAUUAAAAGCUUCUUGCACACUGACAAA
This is a long non-coding RNA of Rhineura floridana, 685 nucleotides long. RefSeq lists it as uncharacterized. The record is from RefSeq and is a predicted model, not a curated record. The transcript has 2 exons. Lineage: Eukaryota; Metazoa; Chordata; Lepidosauria; Squamata; Rhineuridae.